AAAUAGAGCUUUGCAGAGAGAGUUAACAGGGCGUGAACCGUUAAUUCGGCUAACGAAUCGGAGCCACGAAGUCGUUUCGUUGAUAAGUUGGGCCAAGUUCAAUCUAGGAAUUCGUUCUUAGGUGUAUUCUUGUGUCUAACCUAAAAAUCAUUGUAAGCGUACACUGCAACCAGUUAGACGAUUGGUGAUGGGCACAGUUGAUCAACCGUUUACGGGAGGUUAACGAAGCGCUUGUCUACUUGAGUUAGUAGUAGCGUGGUGGCGUUUCGGCGUCAUUGUGUUGCUGGGCUUGAUGUAGGUGAACUAUUACCAAAUACUGACUGGCAAAAUGAAAAUCGUUUCUUAUGAAACGUUAUACAAAAUGCAGCUAACAACAUAGAUGUCUACAUGCUUGACCGUAAGGUUUAAGCUCAGCAUUUUUGAAUUUGGACUUGCUAGCUACCAAUGGGGCAACUCUUGGUGCUAGUAUAGCUUCCAUCUAAUCGGGUGUUGACUUGACUUUACGUCGUUUGAGUAUGAAUCGUUUGGGCGCUUAUGUUAGUAAGUUCGCAAUUGAAUUGGCAGUGAGUAGGUCGGCUUUCCGAACGACCCGUCUUGAAACACGGACCAAGGAGUCUAAUUAGGCAUCAGUCGAUCGGUCUUGAUUAGGCCAGACUAGUGAAUUCGUUCACUGAAUGAAGGCGUAGAGAAAUCAAAUCAUGUGAUCCAUUGGGCAAUACCAGCCCUUUGGCGCAACAUGUGCCUGUUCGUAUAGCGAUGUUAGCAAUAACUCGCUGGGCGGAGCAAAGAGAUGCCUGAUUGGUACCCGAAAGAUGGUGAACUAUGCCUGGGCAAAUUGAAGCCAGAGGAAACUCUGGUGGAGGAUUGUAGCGAUUCUGACGUGCAAAUCGAUCGUCAGACCUGGGUAUAGGGGCGAAAGACUAAUCGAACCAUC
RNAcentral lists this ribosomal RNA (934 nucleotides) under Rhyncaphytoptus sp. 28sd2-5r95. Its description in RNAcentral is "partial 28S ribosomal RNA". It matches the Rfam family "Eukaryotic large subunit ribosomal RNA", at positions 366 to 944 of the family's 3401-position model. The record is from RNAcentral. Lineage: Eukaryota; Metazoa; Arthropoda; Arachnida; Trombidiformes; Diptilomiopidae.